GGGUGGAUUCCAGCGGGGCGGUGAAUGAGUACGAUCUGGGGACACCGCCGGGAGGAAGCCUCCUGGCAAAAUGACGGUGAUGUGGUAAGAAUGGGGGCAACAGGAUGAAUACCACCUAGUACUCCCGCAAAGACGUCGUCGACCGGAGGUCCCCCAGGAGGCGUGCUUCAGCAGCUACCGCAAAAGUCGACCCCGGGGGAGUACGGCAGCAAGGUAAACCUCAAAUGAAUUGAGGGGGGCCCCCACAAGCGGUGGAGCAUGUGGUUUAAUUCGAUGCAACGGGAAGAACUUUACCUACUCUUGACAUCCAGAGAACUUUCCAGAGAUGGAUUGGUGCCUUCGGGAACUCUGAGACAGGUGCUGCAUGGCUGUCGUCAGCUCGUGUUGUGAAAUGUUGGGUUAAGUCCCGCAACGAGCGCAACCUUUAUCCUUUGUUGCCAGCGGUCAGGCCGGGAACUCAAAGGAGACUGCCAGUGAUAAACUGGAGGAAGGUGGGGAUGACGUCAAGUCAUCAUGGCCCUUACGAGUAGGGCUACACACGUGCUACAAUGGCGCAUACAAAGAGAAGCGACCUCGCGAGAGCAAGCGGACCUCAUAAAGUGCGUCGUAGUCCGGAUUGGAGUCUGCAACUCGACUCCAUGAAGUCGGAAUCGCUAGUAAUCGUAGAUCAGAAUGCUACGGUGAAUACGUUCCCGGGCCUUGUACACACCGCCCGUCACACCAUGGGAGUGGGUUGCAAAAGAAGUAGGUAGCUUAACCUUAGGGAGGGCGCUUACCACUUUGUGAUUCAUGACUGGGGU
This 800-nucleotide ribosomal RNA is filed under the name Enterobacter asburiae. Its description in RNAcentral is "bacterial SSU rRNA". It matches the Rfam family "Bacterial small subunit ribosomal RNA", at positions 659 to 1481 of the family's 1533-position model. The record is from RNAcentral. Lineage: Bacteria; Pseudomonadati; Pseudomonadota; Gammaproteobacteria; Enterobacterales; Enterobacteriaceae.